CCUACGGGGUGCAGCAGUGAGGAAUAUUGGUCAAUGGGCGGAAGCCUGAACCAGCCAAGUCGCGUGAGGGAUUAAGGCCCUGCGGGUCGUAAACCUCUUUUGCCGGGGAGCAGAGGUCCGGACGUGUCCGGGCCGGGAGAGUACCCGGAGAAAAAGCAUCGGCUAACUCCGUGCCAGCAGCCGCGGUAAUACGGAGGAUGCGAGCGGUAUCCGGAUUUAUUGGGGUGAAAGGGUGCGUAGGCGGGCAUUUAAGCCGGCGGUCAAAUGUCGGGGCUCAACCCCGGCCUGCCGUCGGAACUGGGUGCCUUGAGUGGGCGGGAAGUAUGCGGAAUGCGUGGUGUAGCGGUGAAAUGCAUAGAUAUCACGCAGAACCCCGAUUGCGAAGGCAGCAUACCGGCGCCCUACUGACGCUGAGGCACGAAAGUGCGGGUAUCGAACAGGAUUAGAUACCCGUGUAGUC
This 460-nucleotide ribosomal RNA is filed under the name uncultured bacterium. RNAcentral's name for it is "partial 16S ribosomal RNA". It matches the Rfam family "Bacterial small subunit ribosomal RNA", at positions 338 to 795 of the family's 1533-position model. The record is from RNAcentral.